AGGAAUUUGAACUUGGUCGUUGCACAUUCCAAAGACCUCUGUAAGGGUUUUCUGACUUUGGGACUAUAAGCAGCAAAGGGUAUCCACGGAAGGGCUAUGUGACCUUAGGCGAGUCCCCUAACCACACCAAAGAUUAAAAUAGUGGAAUGGAAAGAUCAUGUUUGUGAAACACUUGUCAGAGUGCUUGCUGUCUGGUGGGACCUCAUUAAAAUGUAGAGGUUGCCGCUGCCUGAACUCCCUUUCUGCAGGGUCUGCCUUUCUGCAGGAGGAUGCUUGGGAAGGGAUGGAUUUCUGAGUGUUCUUCCUGCCUGCCAGGCCCACAUUCACUUUAAGCUGUCAGUUCAUAGUUGAAAGCGCCUCUUUGUUCCCCUUGCUGAGCCAAUCCAGGCCUGUGUGUUUGAAGCUAGAAAGAAAUCUUUCCUCUCGAGCCCUACUCCAGAGACCAAAUCUUUCUCUUUUAAAAUACCCGGACACAUGCUAGCUAGCUAGCUAUUUAUUUAUUUAUUUAUUUAUUUAUUUAUUUAUUUAUUUAUUUAUUGCCAUCCGAAUGUUAAAUUGAGGCUUUUGGUCGAAACUCAGUCUUACGCCUACUUGAAAAGCCAACAGGCUCAUUGGGCAGCCGACAAAGCUCUCGGGAUUUCCCCACUGGCAGGGGAGAGUACAGACAGGAAGCCAGGGACCCAGCGCCUGACCAGCACUUCCUCAGGGGAGGCUGGAGCUCACUCUGUCUUGCAACGAACUGUCUAGACCCUGCAGGCCAUUGUAUCUGUAGUCAGCAGCCCACCUGGAUAAGAGAGGGUCCCCUGCGGGCAUCUGCAUGGAUCUAGACUCUGUUGGCUUUAAGGUGGGAGCUGCUGGCUUUUGCCCUGAGAUGCUGACACUGGCUGGGCUGGAACCUUCUAUUCCGGCUCAGCCACUUCCUCCCUUGCUGCCACGAGGAGGGAAUUGAGAAGGGACUUUCCAGAGAGAGUUAGCUCGCAGGGUGUGGAAUGGAAUAAAAGCAUAUGCAAAUUUGCCUGUGAGUUCCUUCCUCUGCCCCAGUGAGCCAAGAGAAAGAUGCUCUUCUGCAAGGCCCUUGCCAUCUCUCUUCUCUCCCUGGAUGGCGACAGCGGGGGGUCCGUUGGAGUGGUAACACCAGCUAGGCAGCCAUGGCAAGGGGGUGGGGAGUGUAGGAUGAAUGGGAGGAAGUAGCAAAAUGAGGGGUGGGGAGAAGAAGGAAGGUCAAAAUUGGAAAAGAUAGGUAACCUGGAAUUUGAGCUCAGAGAACAGGAGUUAGAGAAAUAACCAUUGCCAGCUGUUUUACUGUGCACCUAUCUUUUGUCUGAGAGUCAGCUGGCUUUUGUACAGUGGAUGACUGCAGAGCAAAUGGCGCAUUAAAGAUUCUAAUCAAGAUGUUCAAGGCGUAGUGAGUGACACUAGAGUUAAAGCAGGUGAGACUUGUCAUGGGCUGUAAAUAUACAAAUGUCAUUGGCUCAGAAAUAUUUCCAGUAAUAGAGUUAAAGCAUGGGACGGUUUCUGAAAGGAAAAUAAUUUUAAUCUUUUGUUACUUGGGUGGGAUGGCAGUGUGGGUGAUACAGUAGUAUGCUUCCUUAAAUCCAUUGUGGCUCCUAUUUGGCAAGUCACCAACUUUCUUAUAGUGACAGUAAUAAGAAAAUCUUACAUUGUCAAAUAUGGAGCAUGGGGGGUACAUGGGAAUUAAGACAUAUAAUUUUGUUUAUUGUACGAAUGUUUUCAAUCUCCUUCAGUCUUGUCUGCCGAAGGAAUUUUUUUUUUUACUUUUCUAAAACAUUUUUUUUCUCUGUUAAACGACUUGUAUUUUAAUUGACAGUAAUGUAACGUUUCUCUCAUGAAACCCACGGGCCUCCGGGUUAUUUAUUACAACGUUUUCUUGGCAUUUGAGAUGUUUCCAGUCAAUGUUGUUUUACUCAUCUGUUACUGUUCAGCUUUGGUUUUUGUCUCAGACUUUUCUGAUUGCUGAUACUCUGUCCUCGAGUUCCCGGUAUUGUAUUGGGCUUUUGAGCCGAAGCAACGUUCUUGUUAUUAAUUAUUAUUACUAUUAAUCUCACUGCUGCACUUACUCACUGUUUGUGUAGGAUAAGCACUGAGGAUCUUUGUGGGAGAACUCGGAGGGAGCAAGGGACGUUGAAUCUCUGACUGGGGUCUGCUCAGACUGGAUUUUCUUGUGUUGUUGGAAGGUGGAGGAUUAGCCUCUGGCCCUUAAUUUCAGAUAUUAGAAGGCAGGGGAUGAGGUGAGGAGCCACUGGGGCUUCUGGUGAUAUAACCUUGGUCUCCUCAUCUCUGAAUUCCUAAGCUCCACUUUCUCUAAGGCACCGGGGUGGGGAGUCAGGAAUGUACUUCCUCCGCUCAGGCAGUGUUGUUUCCUCUGACUGUCAGCAAUUUGUGUUAUAGGGUGUGGUUCCUCAGAGCCAGCUUUGGGCACUUUUUGAAUCGUGAUCAUGAUUCCUCUCUCAGAUUGUUCUAGAAUCUGGCAGGAUUUUCUUAUUUGGCCUCAGCUUCGAUCCCAGUCAAUAAGAAAUUUGUUUUAAUAAUAUAUGGUACCUGUUUAUAAUUUACAAUUGGUAAAGUGAUUCCAUGUGUUUUUUCCUAUAACCCGUCCAUGAAAUCUGGAAGGUGAAGCAUGGCGGUGAAAUUGUCGCAUCAUGGAGAACUUACUAGAUAUUUAUUGCUUGGAUGAAAUGUACCCAUUUGGUUGCUAAAGAAAUGGAGACUUAAGCAGAUCAAGCUAUCUAUCCAAAGCCUCAUUAUACAGUAGGUAAAAUCACACUUGAUUUUACCAUGCCACACUAGCUCAGAUAGUGUUGAUAACACACACACACACACACACACACACACACACACACACACAUUUGAGAUGGUAUCUUACCUCGUAGCCCAGGCUGGCCUGGAACUCACUGAAUAGACCAAGCUGCCCUCAAACUCACGGCAUUCUUUUUGCCUCAACUCCUCAAUUCUGCAGUUGCAGACUUGAGCCACCAGGCUGGGUUUUCUGAUCACCAUUUGCUCUUCAUUGUGCAGAAAGUUAUCUUUUGAUUCUGUAAGAGAGGACUGUUGUAAAAUCAUCUGUAUACUCCAUUAGCUGUUUGACUGCUACCCGGCCACAGGCCAGUUAAAUCAAAAGAGAUAAGGUGUUGAGACAAAGAAAGUAAUUAGAGAAAUGUUAGUUCAGCAGGAAGAAAGACAGACUGGUCACAAACCCUUCUUGGGUGUGAGGGAUUCAGAGAUCAUAACAACUUUUAUACAAAAAGAAGCUACAUGCCAACCAAGGCUUCCUCACCUAGUUUUUUCUCUCUCUCUUCAGAGUUUCACUUGCGUAGACCAGGUUGGCCUUGAACUCACAAAAAUCUGCCUGCUGCUGCUUCCCGAGCGCACAGAUCAAAGGUGUGCGCCGCCACAUCUGGCUAGAUAUCUCUUUUAUUUUUUUUCUGAAUAUCAGACUGGUCCCUGUUCUACGAGGGUUUGCUUCUUCCUUUCUUUCCGUGGGCAUCGCUAGGGUUUGAACUCACAGCUUUCCACCUUCAUGAACACUAAGCAAACACUCUACCACUGAGUUAUAUCCGGAACCUUUUUCAUGUUUUCUUUGAGAUAGGGUCUUGCUAAUUGUCAACGUUGGCAUAAAACAUGCUUCAUAGCUCAGGCAGGCCUUGAAUUUGUGAUCCCCAGUCUCAAGCCUCCCAAGUAGUGAGAUUACAGUUUAUUUAGCAUUGGGGGUUGAACCCAGAGCCUCACGAAUGCUAGCCAAGUAUUCUACCAGUGAGCCAGCUCCCUGGCUUUUGUGUUUAUUUUAGGCAGACACACUGCCUUCCAGGGAGUUAAUUUACAUGCUUUACACCAUAUUGAUGACUCAAUAAAGUCUACUUACCUUAGACUGGGGAGAUGACUCUACCCAUUCUGUGUUCUUUAAAACCAAAGAAAGAUUAUGUCUAAGUGAAUGUCUUGACUGUCUAGGUGGAGCUUUCUAGCAACGGGAGUCAAACAAUUUCAAAGGAGUAGUCCUCAACUAUGGGGGUAUCCCAUCUGAGCAGUGGCAAAGUGACUUGUCUACCACUCUAUACGGAACGUUCUUAGAUUCUUUAUUGCCAAAAAUCCCAUUUCCUUAGGGAUAUAGCUACUUAGAUCUGGUCCUUGGUAGAGUGAAGCCCCAAGUUCAUGGUGGAAAACAAUUGGCUCUCUUAAGCUUGUAGUAUGUCUUGGAGGUUUGAGCAUGAGCUUUAGAGUCCUCAGAGGAAGUUAAUUGCAGGGGUUUAACAAAGGAAGUGUGUUGCCUUGUUUCUUUGGGCCAUUGGGUGGGUCAAGAAGUGUUACUAUUUUGGGGCAGCCUAGUAUUCAGGGGUCAGCAGUGUUUGCCCUAUGAACAAUGUCACUAGUUGUUCCCACUGCCUGAGAAAAUGUCACUCAUAUUAGUUCAGGCAUUAAAUCAAAAGAAAAGAGUUCGGUUGUAGCAAAAUUAGACUCUUAGGUUGGAUGUCUGUGCUCACCAGAGAGUCUUGAAAAGGCUACAACCAGCAGCAGAGAGAAGGAAAGACCACUCUAGGCUAAUUAGGGAGAAGUAUCCAUGGGAUUCUGUCAAGGGCUUGUCUUUUUGACUUCUGUAGCCAGAGAUUCAAAGUUUUGUCUGUGAAGUUUCUUCUUAGAGGAGUGUUGCACAAACAGUUGCAAUGGUUCUUUUUUUAAACUGAGCUGAACCUCUUUGCACAUGUCUGUGUCACUACAAAGGGCACCUCAAGCCUGUCUUGGUGUUCUUGAGGCUUUUCGAGCCUCACCCAAAAAGGCCUUCUUUAAGGGGUGGUUAUAAAGAGUAAUUUUAACCUUCACUUUGGAACUGUUGUUUAUUUGCUUGUGUGUGUGUAUGUGUCUACAUGUUCAUGUAUGUGCAUGUGCAUGUGCAUAUGUGUUCCUCAGGAGCCAUUGUUUCUCCCCACACCUUUUUUUCUUUUUUAUCUUCUUUUUAUUAAACUGAAACCUUUUGGUUUUGUUAUUAUUAUUUUUCUUAUCAUUUUAUGUGCAUGGGUGUUUUGCUUGCAUAAAUAUCUGUGUACCAUGUGCAUGCCCAUAGAGGCCAGAAGAGGAUGUUGGGUACUCUGGAACGAGAGUCACACACAGCCAUGACCUGAAGGUACAGAGAAUCAAACCUGGGUCCUGUGGAAGAGCAGCCAGUGCUCUUGACUGCUUCCAAAGGAAGGACUUAGAUGACGCCAUCUUGGAUCUUUGGAGUCCGGCUCGCACAGGAACUUUGUGAAGGCACACAGGCUGAAGGAAAAACCGAAAUGGAGGUGACCUCUCAUUUUGAUGCACACCACAGGGAUGAGAGUGUAGGUAAAUGAAUUUAAGAACCCCAGAUAGCAUUUACUCCGCCUCCUUUCUCGAAAAAUCUCUGGACUAUCUUCUAUGAUCCAGGUGUGUUCUCGAAGCUGGGGACAAUAUGGAACCAAGACCUACCCCUCACCCCCAUAAAAAAGGUUAAAAGUAAGCUUUUGUAGUCAGAAAAAAAGAACCCCUGGAAAUAUGAAUCAUAUGAUGUAUUUAGAGUAUAUAAACAGUUCUUACAAUUUAAUAAUAAAGAGACAAACAGCCCAGUUUAGAAGUGGCAAAAGAUGCGAAUAGAUUUUUUUUUUCUGUUCAAAGUAGCUGUGCGAAUGCAGUAAAUGGAUGAAAAGGUGCUCAACCUCAUUAGCCACCAGGGAGAUGCAAAUCAAAACCACAGUGAGGUACCGCUUUGUACCUACCAGGAGAACUGCAAUCAAAAAGUCAGACUGUAGCAAGGAUGUGGAGAACGGAAGCCCCAGACCCUGCUGGCGGAAAUGUCAGAUGGUGUAGCUGCUUUGGCAAAGAGUGUGAGAGUUCUCUAAAGGGACACAGGUUAAUGUAACCCCACCAUUCUACUCUUAGGUAUAGAGUCAAGAGAAAUGACAGCAUGUAUCAGCACAGAGCUGAGAAUGGUCACAGAAACAUCUGUAGCAGAGAAAGAGUAGAGAUGGGCUGGACAGAGGGCUGUGUUUAAAAGCACAGACCAUUCUUGCAGAGGGUGCCAAGUUUAAUUCAGCACCCAACAAUUUGUAAAUUUAGCUCUAGUGGACUCUGUUGCCUCCUCUGCCACCUGCAUUCAUGUGCACAUAUCCACACAUGGACACACACACACUUACACAUACUUUAAAAAAACAAUAAAAAUAUAAAUAUUUAGGAAAAGUAGAAAUAAUAUGAAUGUCCAUCAACUGCUGAUGGAUUAAGAAACGUAGACUUUCCAUAUAGUGGAAUAUCUUUCCCCAUUAAAGCCGUAAAGUGAAUUAAACACUGGUACACACACUAAGCCACAGAUAAACUUUGAGAACAUAAGAACAAGAGACCACACAUGACUGUAUUUGUUCAUUAAAAAAUGCUCUUAAUAGGCAUUUAUAUGUUAUAUAUUAAUUAUAUUAUUAUAUGAUAUAUAUAUAUAUGUAUAUAUAUGUAUAUAUAUAUAUCUCCUAGAGAUUGAGUAAAUGUACUUAGCAUAUAGUUUAGGGACGAUUAAAACAUUCUUAGAUUAACUAUAGUGACCAUCAAACAACUUCAUGGUAAUAUUGAAAGCCAUUGAGUUCCACUCUUUAUGAGUAGGUGAAUUCUAUAGUUGUGAGUUCUAAAAUAAUUUGUUGUUGUUGUUGUGGGGAAUAUUUUUUUUUCUCUCAGAGUCUUACUCUAUAACUCUGGUUGGUCUGGAACCCAUAAGGCCACCCAGCAUGGCCUUGAACUCAGAAAUCCUCCUGCUUCAGCCUCAAGAGUGCUAGGGUUACGGGAGCAUGCCAUUGUGCCUAGCUUCUGUUUAUAUAAUUUUAAAAAAGGACUAACAUGGGUGAUGCCCUUGUGAAAAUAUAACUUGUUUGGGAGAUGGUAUUUAUCAACAAUUACAUCAAAAGCUGUAUCAGUUAGUUAUAAACUAUGGUCUGUUCUAUGAAGGGAAGGAUUGGACAUGACUCAGGAGAAUGGCAGGUGUCCCCGGGGGAUGGAGAAGAGGUACUAGUGAAGCUGUUGCACUCAAUGACCCUUAAAUAGCAGUGGUUUGAAAGGGGAAAGUCCUGUUCUUGCUGGUGGGAAAAAGUACAGUUUUAAAGAUCAUCGAGUGCAGUGCCAUGCUCCACCGUGGGCGGUGCAUGGCCCACAUUGCAUGGGUUGAGUGCAGCUGCACCGUGUCCUCUGGCCCCAUGUAGAACUGGGUUACUUGAGGCUGGGAAAUGAGGUUUUUAUGCCAGGAGUUUGUGUACCCUGGGGGCUCUGUGAACACACGAGAGACACAGGGUUACUGUUCGGUCAUCUCUGCUAUUGAUGGUCUGGCUGAGGAGGUGAUACAGUGGGUGAGGGCCUCAGGAGGACAGUUUUCCAGGCCAGGGGCACAUGUGUAAAGGCACAGUGGGGGCAGGAAAAACCAUCUGUCACAUUACUGGUUGCUUUUAAGAAAAUCUUGCUAUGUAUUUCAGGCUGUCCGUGGAUCCUCAGUCCUCCUGAUGCAGUUUCCUCUGUGCUGGGAUUACAGGGUGGCCUCAAAUUGACAUUCUUCACAUGCUUCACAUGACUUCACAUGCUGCAGGCAUGUGAGUGUUGAGGUUACAGGCCUGUACCACAUGCCCAGCAUGCUUAGUGACUACUUAUGACUUUGCCUAUCUGUGUCCCAGAUCCAUAUGCAUCAAGAAUGUUCAGUCUGCAGAGGGAGUGCCUCUGGAUUUAUCAGAGAUUUCUCUUGUCUUUACAGGGCUGGCAGGAUCUGACCUGUGAGGAAGGACCAGGCCUUACCUGGAGAGUCUGUGUGUAUCCUCAGCUCUGAGAACUGAAUUCCAUGGGUUAUAGCAAUGUCAGACCUGUGAAGUUCAGUUCUUUAGCUGGGAUAGCUCUAUCGUCAUGGACCUGAGGAACACCGUCUAGGACAACCUCUGAAGGCUUUCUUAUUCUGCCAAGGAACUUGAAGAGUGGAGAGAGUGGGGUGAAGGAUGGGACUGGUGGCCCCACAGGGAUCCAUGUUCGAUUGAUGUGUGUUCUAGUUUCAUUUCUGUUGCUUUGAUAAAAUAUCUUGACAAAAACAAUUUAGGGGAGGAAGGGUAUUUAGAUUGUAAUUCCAAGUUAUAGCCCAUCAUUAUAGGGAAGACGAAGUAGGAACUCGAAGCAGCUAGUCUUAUCCACAGACAAGAAGGAAAAGAGACCUGGACAUUGUGACACAUAUCUUCAUUCCCAGAAUUUUGGCUGGUGGCUCUCUGAUAGGCCAGCCUGAUCUGCAGAGCAAGUUCCAAGCUAGCCAAAGCUAUAUAGUGAGAUUGUGUCUCAACAAAGAAAAAGAAAAAAAAAAAAGGAGAAAAAUAAAGAGGAAAAAAAAUUCAUACACGUUUACUGGUACUUGACACCCCCCCCCCCCAUACUUAAAGAGUCUAGGAUCACCUGCCUAGGGAAUGAUGCUGCCUACAGUGGGCUGAAUCUUCCUAUGGUAAUUGAUAUAAUCAAUAUAUACACCCACUGAUAUACAUAGGUCAACCUGAUCUAGAGGGUCCCUUACUAAGACUCUCUCUAUUUGAUCCCAGAUUGUAUCAGGUUGACAGUGCUGAGCAAUGUAGUGUGGAAAUUCCUCCUCUGUUUGGGAAAAGCUCAGCAUCCUAUAAACAGCCUCACUGAGUGAUUCUUGCUUCAGUGACUUUUGUUUACAUUUACUGAUGAUUUAGGAUGAGUCAGGUAUGAAGGGGACUAAGUACUGUGCAUGCUGUUAUAGGAGACUCUUGGGAAACACCAUUUUAAUGAAGCUUGAGACACACAGCAUUACCAAGCAGUGAUUUUCCAGUCUCUUUAUGGGACCAGAUGGAAUUAAUUGUAUGUGACAAUUAUCCUUUAGCAUGAUCUGCUGAGGUAUCUGGCUGCUUUUUCAGAUAUGUAGCUCAAAAGGAUAAAGAACACAUCCUUCUUAUGACCCCUUAUUCUGUUUAUUUCGACCCAUUUUGUACCCCCAAACAAGACAAAGAAGUUGUAAUUAGACUCCACUGUAACUUCCAGUUUCUUCCAGGGACGAGGAUUAGGAAGGCUUAGAAAGUCUAUUUGGACACAUAGUCCAUGAAAUGUUGGGGCUCAGGUCUUUGUAGAAAGGCAGUAGAGACCUCUGUCACCAAGUAUGUUGGGUCUGUUUUGAGAGUUAGGCUUGAUUUGAUGAUGAUGAUUUCUGUUGGAUGUAGUAUCUGGACUUUAUUAAGCUUUUGACUUGGCAAAGAUUUAGGAAUGGCCCUGUCUUUUGGGAAAUCCUCUUUGACUCAUUGCUAUGCCUUGGUGUCCUGGGAUUUCCUUCUCACUCUUGUCUCUGAAUGAAAAGAGAGGGAGGCAGCGUGAGGUGGGAGACCCUACAGCGUGCACAUGCUCAGUCUUUCUUCCCGGGGACAUAGGCAUUUACUGGGUACUAGCUCUUAAAUUCAGGGCUUUGCCUGUGUGAUCUCAGUGAAUUUUACUAAGCCUCAUCUCUGUAACGUGGAUAAGUCAACAAAAGGAUUUUUUUCUGUUGCUAUGAUAAAAUGGCCUGGCAAAAAUAACUUAUGAAAGAAAGGGAUGAUUUUGGCUCACAGUUGAAGGGUACAGUCAACCAUGGAGGAAAUCGAAGCACCAGAAGCUUGAAAGCUACUGGUCACAGGACAGCUGCAGACAAGAAGGGGAGAGCUGCAGAUGUUCACAGCCCACUUUCUCCUUUGCAUGCAGUCCAGGACACCACCCAGGGGAGGGUGCCACCCUCCUUUAUGGUGGUUCUUACCACAAUUAACUUAGUCAAGAUAGUCCCCUCACAGGCAUUCUCCAUGGGUAACUUAAUUUAAACAACCCCUUAUAGGGAUGACUGGAGAUAAAUCUCCUAGAUAAUUUCAGAUCUUGUCAAGUCGAUACCAAAAGACCCAGAGCCAGACUCUCUAUAUAUGCAGAGCAUGAGAGACCUCAGAACAGUCAACCUUGAGAGGAAUGUCUCCAUAAAAUCCCUCCUUUCUGGUUCAGGGAACUCUGGGGAAGAGGAAGCUGAAAGGGUGUAGGAGGCAGAAAAGAAGGAGGACACCAAGGAAUCAAGGCCUUCUAGACACAACAGGGCUGAGAUACAGUGGACUCACAGAAGGAUGGCAGCCUGCAAGGGGCCUGCUUAGGCUCUGUAUCAGAUAGGGUUCUAGAGCUAAGAGGAGAAGUGGGCCCAUGGCUCUAACCCUAACCCAGAAGCUAUUUCAAAUAACAUCUACUCACAAAUGAAAGAUUAGUGUUUUCUAAGGAAGUCUUCUUAUGGGGAAACAAAGCACUCUCGAUCUCCACGCUCAGGAGUAAAUAGAUGGCCAACACAAAACCAAUUCAGCAGUAUGUUUCAAGGUUCUUUGUCUUAUAAUGUGUAAACCAGGGCUUUUUUGUUUGUUUUAACCAUACAGGCCUGUUGUGUAUGUAUUAAAGCUUCUGAUUUUGUGUUUGUUUCGGAUUCCUGCGUGGGUGAAUGAGUUUCUGCAUCUAUGAGUUUCUUGGGCUUUUUCUUGGGCUCUUUUUCUUGUUUGGUUGUUUUGUUUUAUCCUGAUUUUUCUCGUUUUUGAUUUAUUAUCACUUCUUAGAUGCCUGUUUGUUUUCUAGGCAGAGACAGAAAGGGUGUGGAGCAGGAUGGGAGGCAGGGCCAUGGGGAGGAGCUGAGGGGCAGUGGAGGGAAACUGUAACUAGAAUAUAUUGUAUUCUCAAUGCUCUUCUGAUGGAAAGGGGUUGCUUGGUGAUUGGUGCCUGGGCUCUACUGAUCGAAUCAAGGCCUCUCAACCCCCUCUGCCUGCUUCCAUCCCGUGCUUAUCCAAUCUUUAGCCAGGGACUUGUCCUAGAAUCGCAACUUUGGCAAAUCUCAGCUGAGACCAGAGGUCAGUGUUGACACCCAGAUUGCAAGGGAGGAUUAGGAUUUAAAUCUGAAACUCCCAGGGCCCUGGGCUCAGUGCUUCUGUGUGACUGGUGCCCAUGACACCUAGAGGUCUGCCUUUCUAACAGAGGCUGAUCUUAUCACAGUUGAAUCUUCCUGAAGCUGAGGGACCAACCACAGGCUAAGCUCUACCGGUGAGGAGUCAAUGGGAAUUUACAAAAUAAAGGAUGCUUCAGGCUCAGGGUGUAGCUUAGAGGUUGCCUACCAUAAUCAGCAAGGUUCUUGGUUCUGUUGCCAGCUCUGCAAAAAGAAAGGAAAACGUUUUAGUUGAGGUAUGGGUUAAGAUUUCAUUAAGUAAUCGAUUUGCUAAGGAUUUUUGUUGAUUUAAGGUUGUAUUUGCUUUAUCAAAACUUACUUUAGGGGCUGGAGAGGUGGCUCAGUGGUUAAGAGUGAAUCCUGCCUUUUUAGUUCAGUUUCAGCACUUACCUGCUUGUGACUAUAGCUCUGGGGGGGAUGCAAAGCCUUCUUCAGGACUCCGUGAGUAUCUGUGUUCAUGUGCUCAGACCUACACAUACAAUAAAAAGAGAUUUAUUGUGUGUAAGCGGAAAAGUCAGGUUACCCCAAAGGUCAUAUUCUGUUUGAGUUGAUGUGUGAUUAUAAAUUAUAGGCUACUAUGAGAUGUAGAAGUAAGUAUAUUGAAAGACGAUUAUCAGUUUAUUAACAGAGACUUUUUCUCUAGGGUAAGACUUGAGAUUCACUUUCUUUUCUUUCUUUGUAAUUUUCUUUAUGGUUUGACCCUUACUCUGGGCAUUUGUAAUUAAAAUAAAUUACUGUGGAAGACUUCA
Molecule: non-coding RNA, 11709 nt
Organism: Rattus norvegicus (Norway rat)
Lineage: Eukaryota; Metazoa; Chordata; Mammalia; Rodentia; Muridae
Source: RefSeq, a predicted model, not a curated record